This 364-nucleotide ribosomal RNA is filed under the name uncultured bacterium. RNAcentral describes it as "partial 16S ribosomal RNA". It matches the Rfam family "Bacterial small subunit ribosomal RNA", at positions 338 to 699 of the family's 1533-position model. The record is from RNAcentral.
CCUACGGGCGGUAGCAGUGAGGAAUAUUGGUCAAUGGACGCAAGUCUGAACCAGCCAUGCCGCGUGCAGGAAGACGGCUCUAUGAUUUGUAAACUGCUUUUGUACGAGGGUAAACGCAGAUACGCGUAUCUUUCUGAAAGUAUCGUACGAAUAAGGAUCGGCUAACUCUGUGCCAGCAGCCGCGGUAAUACGGAGGAUUCAAGCGUUAUCCGGAAUUAUUGGGGUUAAAGGGUGCGUAGGCGGUCGGGUAAGUUAGAGGUGAAAUCCCGAGGCUCAACUUCGGAAUUGCCUCUGAUACUGUUAGGCUAGAGAGUAGUUGAGGUAGGCGGAAUGUAUGGUGUAGCGGUGAAAUGCGUAGAGAUCA